Long non-coding RNA from Lycium ferocissimum, 1389 nucleotides. RefSeq lists it as uncharacterized. NCBI's taxonomy places the organism in Eukaryota, Viridiplantae, Streptophyta, Magnoliopsida, Solanales, Solanaceae. The transcript is spliced from 3 exons. The record is from RefSeq and is a predicted model, not a curated record.
UCUGAGUUUUUGGCAUUCAUGGGGGAGAGUUCUUUAUUUUUGUGGUCUACAUAGAUGUCAUAAUCAUAUGGUUGAUGACAUGGAACUUUUCUUCCAGAUCACUUAUCCUUAACUUUCCACAUGCUAUUUAUUGUCCUCUAAAAAGCUGAGCUGUUGUGUUAUCUAAACUGAACAAUGGCCAUACCUUAAAUUUUAUCAAAUCACUCUCUUCUCCCGAAGCUGGAUUGGUUACCAAGUGUUUAUGCACUAAUCCUCAUACUGCCUAAUAUUGCAAAAGCUACUGAUAAUGGAAGAUAGAAAUUUAGAACAUAAGACUAAAAGGAGCAAAAACUGUUUUUAAGCAAGGGUUUAAACGAAAGUCUUUUUUUAAGUUAGACGUUAUAAGUUAACAUUCAAGUUUACUGAAUGUUGGACGUUAAGAAGUUCACUGCAAUCCCACUCAGUCAUAAACUUCCAAGUCUUGUGAAUGUUAGACGUUUAUAAGUUAACAUUUCAGCUUAUAAGUUAGUGAAUCCAAAUCAUAGAAGCAAUUUACUUUUCAGUAGCAAACUUCAUGGAAAUGAGUACCAAACCUCCUGAAUUAAGUGCAUUCUUGUUGGUCAUAUACUUCCACGUCUUGUGAACCUUAAACACAAAUGGGAUAAAUAUCAGCUCAUAAGUUAGUGAAUGCAUCCUUAGCAAAAAAAAGGUUAGUGAAUGCACUCAGAAGCAUUUCUUUUCAGUAGCAUACACCACGGAAGUGAGCUAGCAAACCUCCAAGUUUAAUGCAAUCCUUGUUGGUCAUACUCCCUCUUGGCAAACGAGCUGGUCGGAUUGGAUAUGGGCGGGUCGAAAACGGGUUAAACAAAAAUGGAUAAAAUAUCCGACCCACCCAUAUUUAACAUGGAUAAAAAAUGGGUUAAGCGACGGUAUUAUCCAUGGUUUUAGGAAUAGUCAGGUGAGAACACAAGCUAAAAGCCAAAAUAAGCUUAGACUCCCAUAAAGCAAGAACUCUAUGGAUAUCCAUAUUAACCAUCUGGAUAUCCAUUUUUUAAUGGAUAAUAUCCAUAUUUGAUCCAUUUUUUAAAUGGUCAGUUAUCCAACUCAUAUUUAAUGAGUUGGAUUGGAUGGUUACUUGUUCUUUCUUUAACCAUUUUGCCAACCCUAGACUCAUGUACUUCCGAGUCUUGUGAACCUUGGUGCCCUAGUGUGCUAAUAUAUCAGCUUAUAAGUUAAUGAAUGCAUCUUAUUAGGCAGAAAUACUGGUGCUGCAGUAUUCUUUCUCAAAAAUACUGUUGAUGCAGUAUUUGACAUUUGUAUAUGAAGUUACAAACAAAUUCGGAGGCAACUUCUGCCAUUUCUGAAUCUUGAAGUUGAUUUAUGUUCUAUUUCCAACUUGUCCCUCUUUUA